This 74-nucleotide transfer RNA is filed under the name Thiorhodovibrio winogradskyi. Its description in RNAcentral is "tRNA-Gln". It matches the Rfam family "tRNA". Rfam says of the family: Transfer RNA (tRNA) molecules are approximately 80 nucleotides in length. Their secondary structure includes four short double-helical elements and three loops (D, anti-codon, and T loops). RNAcentral also lists the same sequence under 1 other name. Lineage: Bacteria; Pseudomonadati; Pseudomonadota; Gammaproteobacteria; Chromatiales; Chromatiaceae. The record is from RNAcentral.
UGGGGGAUCGUCUAGCGGCAGGACCACGGACUCUGACUCCGUUAACCUAGGUUCGAAUCCUAGUCCCCCAGCCA